GCCUAGGUAGCUCAGUGGUAGAGCUCCUGACUAUACACCUGCAGGGGUCCGGGUUCGAUUCCCGGUCCAGCCA
RNAcentral lists this transfer RNA (73 nucleotides) under Magallana gigas (Pacific oyster). RNAcentral describes it as "Crassostrea gigas (Pacific oyster) tRNA". It matches the Rfam family "tRNA". Rfam says of the family: Transfer RNA (tRNA) molecules are approximately 80 nucleotides in length. Their secondary structure includes four short double-helical elements and three loops (D, anti-codon, and T loops). The record is from Rfam by way of RNAcentral. Lineage: Eukaryota; Metazoa; Mollusca; Bivalvia; Ostreida; Ostreidae.